GUUGCUAUCCCACCCUUUUUUUCCUAGCAAAAAUAUUUUGAUUUAUUAUGCAGAAAAAAAUAGAGGCUGGGAUAAUAGACAUUUCUUGGUUUAAGGAGGUGACCAAAAAUAACAAUGUCAGUGUGGAGCAGACAUGUAGUUGUUUUAUUUUUAUUUGUGACAUCUUUAUCUUUCAGAAUCAAGAAAGCUGCCCACGUUGUCGUGCCUCAUUGGUGAGGGAAGAGAUGACUAAACCUGUGGAACAGAUUCCUUCUGAAAUAGUUUUAAGAAAUGUGCUACGAGCCUUGGAUGAAACACCCUGUCAUCGCUGCUUGGAUCUGGUUGCUCUGCGCAAGCUCUAUUAACCACCUUCUUCAAUACCUCCUUAAAUUAUUUUUCUCAUCAAAUGAGGUGGUGCUACUGGAAGGUGGUGAGACCUUAGGAGGUGGGGCCUAGGGCGAGGUCCUUCCAUCAUGGGGUUGUGUCUUGAAGGGAACUUUGGGAUCACAAUCUCUUCUUUUUUCUCUCUGCUGCCUGGCACCUUAAGGUAAGAGUUUGCUUCUCCACAUGUUCCUUGCCAUUGCCAUCUGGCAUUCCCACUAGAGGCCUACAAGUGACAUAGCCAACUGACCAUGGACUGAAAUCUCCAAAACCAUGAGCUGAAUAAUCCUUUGCUUUAUUAUAUUACAGGAAUUUUGCUAUAGUAACCCACGCUGACUAACACAAAUAUGUACGCUGGUGUCCAGGGCAAGGAUGUGCAGUAGGC
RNAcentral lists this long non-coding RNA (745 nucleotides) under Heterocephalus glaber (naked mole-rat). RNAcentral describes it as "lncRNA (ENSHGLG00000048113.1)". Lineage: Eukaryota; Metazoa; Chordata; Mammalia; Rodentia; Bathyergidae. The record is from RNAcentral.